RNAcentral lists this transfer RNA (798 nucleotides) under uncultured cyanobacterium. RNAcentral's name for it is "partial contains 16S ribosomal RNA, 16S-23S ribosomal RNA intergenic spacer, and 23S ribosomal RNA". The stretch from base 259 to 331 matches the Rfam family "tRNA". The record is from RNAcentral. Lineage: Bacteria; Bacillati; Cyanobacteriota.
CAGGGAGACAUCACUGAUUUUGAUGCCUGAAUUAACUAUAUUUAGGCCAUAAUCCUGUCACCUUAGGUCGAUCGGUACCUCAGUUUGAAAUUUUAAAAACUAAGAAAUUAGGAUUUAAAAUUACUGAAUUCAGUUUCUAAACUUUGUCUAGGUCACACCCAGCAAGGGUACUCCUGGGCCAUUAGCUCAGGUGGUUAGAGCGCACCCCUGAUAAGGGUGAGGUCCCUGGUUCAAGUCCAGGAUGGCCCAUUCGGUGUUGGGGGUAUAGCUCAGUUGGUAGAGCGCCUGCUUUGCAAGCAGGAUGUCAGCGGUUCGAGUCCGCUUACCUCCACUGAUCCAACUCCUGACUAAACCAGUCCAAGGAGAAUCUUCUUUAUUGUGAUCUAGAACUUGUUCUUAUGAAUGAACCUAGCUUCUUGUCAAACCUUCUAAAAAUUUUUUUGUAUGGCUGAUAGGACGCUGGGCUCACUGCAAUAACCAUUGCAGGAAAGUUCAGCAGAACCUUGACAACUGCAUAGUGAGUCUGGAAAGAAUAAAGCAUCUCAUGGAUGCAUUGUUCUUUUAAACCAAACUUUAGUUCUCUGAAUUAUCAGAUAAUCUGAUUUGGUUUGAAAUUAUAAUGUUUAAUUCUUGAGCAAGAGCCGAGACUCUGGAAUGUUCCUUUCAUUUAUUUAAUGAGAGUUAGAUCUUUUGUUUUUCCUUUAUAUUAAGACUUUAGUUACUUUCUAUCGUUUUAAAUUAAAGCUUCGAAAACCAAAGAGAAAAGUGUUAUCAACACAUAGCAUUCUAGAGAUUAAU